AUUUAAUCUAGGGUCGUAAAGGUUUGAGGUUAGAAAAAAUAGAACGGAAUUUUCGGAUUUUUCAAAAGGUAUUGUUCGAGUUAUUAAAUAAAAUAAAUGUAAUACAAACAUUUUUAAAGUUACACUUUCCAUAUUUCAUUGCGCUGGAAAUGUUGUUUUACUUAAAAGAUAAGGAAGGUUCGAUAUUGUAUUUAUUAAAAGAUAAAUACACUAUUGGGAGAAAGGAUGCAGAUAUUCUCUUAACAAAUGAUCAGUCUAUAAGUCGUAAUCAUGCUCUUUUAAAAUUAGAUAGCAACAGAAUAAUUUUGGUUGAUUGUGGAGCAAAAUACAAGACAUAUGUUGAUAAUACAAAACUUCAACCUCAUGAAGAUACAAUUUUAAGUCCUGGAAAUACAAUUAAAUUUGGAGCAUUUGAAAGUAUUUAUAAAGUAGGUUGUAUAAACAUAGUAACAGCACACUCAUGUUUAACCAAAGAAGAAAAGAAAAAAGUAAUUUGUCAAAUAAACUUUUUAAAUGGAUGUUGUGUAAGUAAUUGGACACCUGAAUGUACUCAUUUAACAGUCAACGAAUUAAAACUUACUGUAAAGAUGUUGUGUUGUCUGAUAGAAGGAAAACCAAUAGUUACAGUAAAGUUUUGGGAAGAUUUUGCAAAGAAUGUCAAAGAAAAUCAUUCCCCACCUGAUCCUAACAAUUACAAACCACCUUGUACAGAAAUAAUGUUAAACAAAAAUUUACCAUUAGAUUUCAAAGAAGAAAGAAAACACCUAUUCCGUAAUAAAGUAUUUGUUUUUAUGACAGAAGCUGAUAAAGAAACUGUGGAGUUGGUCAUAAAAUAUGCAGGAGGACAAUGUAUAUCUUGGGAAAAGGAACAUAUAAAAAAAGAAGAUAUAGAUAAUCCUGAGAAAGAGUAUUUAAUUGUACAGAAUACAGAUAGUCCAACAAAAAUACAAUCCCAAGAAUUGAUAGAUCUGAUAGAACAUCUAAAGCAAACAGGAAAACGUUUGAUUCCAUUUACAGAAUUAGCCCUUGCAAUUGUAAACUGUUCUUGCGAAAAAGAUUGCAAUCCUAACUUUGAUAGAAAUGCUGCAUUAUUAAAGGCAACAUCCAGUCAAUUAGCAGCUCCAUGUAAAAUACUUGUAACAGAAACUCAGACGCAACAAGAAGAACAUUCCAAAAAUACUCAAAACAAUGCUACAAUUCCUCCCUCAUUUGAUAAUUCGUCUUGUAGUAGUCAAAAUUUUGCACCCAAAAUCAAUAGUACGUUUGCUGAACCUAAAGUAGCAAAUAAAAGAAUUGCCGAAGAUCACGUCGACAAGUUGACUGAAAACAUAUCAAAAAAAGCGAAAAUGUUAACAGAAAAUUUUGCUGUCUUUAUCAACAAGAAAAAUAAGGAAAUCACCAAAGCAAACAACGCUUUCGAUAUUUUUACUAAUAAAAAAGGUGAUAAAGAUUCGUCAUCAGGUACAUCGGAAACUAAAGAAAAUAGCAUUUCUACAGCAGAACCAAAAAAACGUAAGUUUGACUUUGUUGAACCAGAUGAAAAGCAAAACAGUUUAGUGGAAAUAACUAAAAAGAUAAAUUUAGAUAAAGAUGAGGUUGAUAAUAUAUCUUUAUUACAAAGCAAAAUUUUGAAAAGUUCGACAAAUCAUUUUUCUUCGUCUGGCAAGACAAAUCAAAAUUCAACGACAAAUAUCCUAUCUGGAUCGUGGAUUUCAAUAAACAAUUCAACGAAUAAAAUUGAAGAAGUCUGUAAACAAGAAGAUAUUGAUGAAGAAAUGUUACGGUUUGUUAAUUCCUUCAGGAAUUCUGUCGUUAUCGUAGAAAAAAAUCUUAUUAAGUGUAAACCUAAAGCCAAUACACUCUCAAUUAAUGCUGUUUCAAAUUCAAAUCGAAAAGAUUUUAAAAAAUUUAAAAGGGUAAAACCUCUAAAAGAGCAGUCCACAAUAAUUCCACGUUCGGAAUGUGUACGAGUUAUUUGUAAUAGUGAUGCUGUUUUGCAACCACAAGCACAUGAAGAAGAUAACGAUGAUAAUGAUGAUAUAGAAUUUAUUAAUGGCCCAAUCCAAAGUAAACAGCAAAACACCAGCAGUAAAAAGAAACCAUUGAAAUUUGAAAUUUAGGCUGUGAAUGAAACGCCGUUUUGAAAUAAACAGAUUUUUACGCCGAUGACGCAUUUAGUAAUUCAUCUUAAUCAAAAAAACUUUUGAACGGCAGUAUCGAAACAUCCAUCAAAAAAAAAAAAAUUCAAGGUGAAAACCCCUAAUCCGAAUACGAUUAUUUUGCUUGCCGCGAAAGCCUAGCAAAUACUAUAUAUGGAAAACGCUAGAUAUGUAGUAUUAUAAAGUGGCGAGGGUAAAUUCAAGUCGAUCUUUUACAAUCCAUUUACACCACAAUCGUCGUCAUUGACGUUUAAACCUUACUUAUUAUAACCAUUUUUCCGUCUUCCUAUGGAACUCGAAUUAAGUGCCUAAGAAUCCGUAUAAAGUAUAUUUUAAUCCAUCACAUGGUGGUACUUAUCCACGUAAAGAUCACUCCAUCUAGAGAUCUCGGUUUUCCAGUCUGUUGGCCACAUUUUAAAUGUUACCUAGUUGCGAUGCAUUGAUUUACACAAAUUCGUUAUUAAAUUAUUUAAUUUG
RNAcentral lists this unclassified non-coding RNA (2636 nucleotides) under Agrilus planipennis (emerald ash borer). Its description in RNAcentral is "nibrin, transcript variant X1". The record is from RNAcentral. Lineage: Eukaryota; Metazoa; Arthropoda; Insecta; Coleoptera; Buprestidae.